This 90-nucleotide transfer RNA is filed under the name Verrucomicrobiia bacterium. Its description in RNAcentral is "tRNA-Ser". It matches the Rfam family "tRNA". Rfam says of the family: Transfer RNA (tRNA) molecules are approximately 80 nucleotides in length. Their secondary structure includes four short double-helical elements and three loops (D, anti-codon, and T loops). Lineage: Bacteria; Pseudomonadati; Verrucomicrobiota; Verrucomicrobiia. The record is from RNAcentral.
GGAAGGGUGUCUGAGUGGUUGAAAGAGCUGGUCUCGAAAACCAGUAACGGUGCAAGCCGUUCGUGGGUUCGAAUCCCACCCCUUCCGCCA